GAUCCUGCUCAGGAUGAACGCUAGCGACAGGCUUAACACAUGCAAGUCGAGGGGCAGCGGGGAGUAGCAAUACUUCGCCGGCGACCGGCGCACGGGUGAGUAACACGUGUGCAACCAACCCCGUACCGGGAGAUAACCCGCGGAAACGUGGACUAACAUCCCAUAAUACUGGAGGAUCGCAUGAUCUUUCAUUUAAAAUUCCGGUGGUACGGGACGGGCACGCGCGACAUUAGGUAGUUGGCGGGGUAACGGCCCACCAAG
Molecule: ribosomal RNA, 261 nt
Filed under: uncultured bacterium
Lineage: Bacteria
Description: partial 16S ribosomal RNA
Rfam family: Bacterial small subunit ribosomal RNA
Source: RNAcentral